CAAUAUAAGCUAAUGAAAAUUACAAUUUUUCCAGGUCUGGCAAACUUAGUGAUCACUGAGUCGAGCAGCUUUUAACAAGUCUGAGACAACUAAAUUCCUAAACUGCAUCUAUGUUAUGUACCUGCUCACUGUCAGUUACCAACCUCUUUGAGAUCACUGACAUUAAAAUUCAACCUUCAGCUUCAUGUGCAUUACUCAUCUCAAGUUACUGGACUUAAACUACAUAGGUAUUACAGAGUAAAAUAUUUCAAAAGGGAAAAAGGAGUUCAAUUAUUUAAAGUGACAUGCAUGUAUGUUAUUUUUUAAGCGCAAUUGAGGUACCUAAGUUCUUGGAAUAA
This 338-nucleotide long non-coding RNA is filed under the name Bos taurus (domestic cattle). RNAcentral describes it as "long non-coding RNA NONBTAT023578". The record is from RNAcentral. Lineage: Eukaryota; Metazoa; Chordata; Mammalia; Artiodactyla; Bovidae.